Haliotis rufescens (red abalone) is the source of this 334-nucleotide long non-coding RNA. RefSeq lists it as uncharacterized. The transcript is spliced from 2 exons. The record is from RefSeq and is a predicted model, not a curated record. Lineage: Eukaryota; Metazoa; Mollusca; Gastropoda; Lepetellida; Haliotidae.
CAGAUCACCUGCAUCUACUGGCAGUGCAGUCACUCCAGACUAUAGCUGAACCCAUCAAAGCUGCCACACUUACUGACAGCUGUCUACAAGGUAGCUGUUGGCCCCUUCCUGCAUUGCACUUAUUGACUGUUUCCUGAUGCUAAUCUGUCAGUCCUGAAUGAUGAGAGGUGGAGCUUGUUGUUCUUGGCAAGGCAACCAGGAAAUCUAGUGCUUCCACUUUCAUUAAUUAUAAAUUUAUAAUUUAGGCCGAUUUCAAUUCUGUUAUAUGAAAAUUUGUUUGAAAUUUGUUUGAAAUGAAGAAGGUGGUGAAUUAAUUGCUUCCUAUUAUCUAGUA